Molecule: ribosomal RNA, 475 nt
Filed under: uncultured bacterium
Lineage: Bacteria
Description: bacterial SSU rRNA
Rfam family: Bacterial small subunit ribosomal RNA
Source: RNAcentral
AGGACGAACGCUGGCGGCGUGCCUAACACAUGCAAGUCGAGCGAGGAGAUCCUUCGGGAUGAUCCUAGCGGCGGACGGGUGAGUAACACGUGGGCAACCUGCCUCAUAGAGAGGAAUAGCCUUCCGAAAGGGAGAUUAAUACCUCAUAACAUUGCAGUUUCGCAUGGAACAGCAAUUAAAGGAGCAAUCCACUAUGAGAUGGGCCCGCGGCGCAUUAGCUAGUUGGUGAGGUAACGGCUCACCAAGGCGACGAUGCGUAGCCGACCUGAGAGGGUGAUCGGCCACAUUGGGACUGAGACACGGCCCAGACUCCUACGGGAGGCAGCAGUGGGGAAUAUUGCACAAUGGGGGAAACCCUGAUGCAAGCAACGCCGCGUGAGUGAUGACGGCCUUCGGGUUGUAAAGCUCUGUCUUCAGGGACGAUAAUGACGGUACCUGAGGAGGAAGCCACGGCUAACUACGUGCCAGCAGCCGC